CAGCCUAACACAUGCAAGUCGAGCGAGAAAGGUCUUCGGACUGAGUACAGCGGCNAACGGGUGAGUAACGCGUAGGAAUUUACCUUUCAGUGAGGAAUACCCUCGAGAAAUCGAGGUUAAUACUGCAUACGUCUCGCAAGAGAGAAAGAUGGCCUCUUUGGCUGUCGCUGAAAGAUGAGCCUGCGUACUAUUAGCUAGUUGGUGGGGUAAAGGCCUACCAAGGCGGUGAUGGUUAGCCGGCCUGAGAGGGUGUACGGCCACACUGGAACUUAGACACGGUCCAGACUCCUACGGGAGGCAGCAGUGAGGAACAUUGCGCAAUGGGCGAAAGCCUGACGCAGCGACGCCGCGUGGAGGAUGAAGGUCUUCGGAUUGUAAACUUCUGUUAAGCGGGAAGAAAGGCGAAGCUUUAAUACAGCUUUGAUAUGACGGUACCGCUAGAGAAAGCACCGGCUAACUUCGUGCCAGCAGCCGCGGUAAUACGAAGGG
This 489-nucleotide ribosomal RNA is filed under the name uncultured bacterium. Its description in RNAcentral is "bacterial SSU rRNA". It matches the Rfam family "Bacterial small subunit ribosomal RNA", at positions 44 to 532 of the family's 1533-position model. The record is from RNAcentral.